GGGAGGCAGCAGUGGGGAAUUUUGGACAAUGGGCGAAAGCCUGAUCCAGCAAUGCCGCGUGAGUGAAGAAGGCCUUCGGGUUGUAAAGCUCUUUUGUCAGGGAAGAAACGGUUUGGGCUAAUACCCUGAGCUAAUGACGGUACCUGAAGAAUAAGCACCGGCUAACUACGUGCCAGCAGCCGCGGUAA
Molecule: ribosomal RNA, 188 nt
Filed under: uncultured Massilia sp.
Lineage: Bacteria; Pseudomonadati; Pseudomonadota; Betaproteobacteria; Burkholderiales; Oxalobacteraceae
Description: partial 16S ribosomal RNA
Rfam family: Bacterial small subunit ribosomal RNA
Source: RNAcentral